AACUGAUACUACCUGCGGGAACCUGCGGAAGGAUCAUUAACGAAUCCGCGUGGGGGUGGGUGAGAACCCGCCCUGACACUCGCCAGACUCCCGAGAGGGGGUUUGCCUGCGUGUGUGGUCGCACUUACCGUGUGCCACACUGCAGAAAUGGACGUGAUUGUUUGUCUUAUUCUGUGUGCGUCUCGUACACAAUUAAAUAUAAAACAACUUUUAACAAUGGAUCUCUAGAUCGGAAGAGCA
This 240-nucleotide unclassified non-coding RNA is filed under the name soil metagenome. RNAcentral's name for it is "partial contains 5.8S ribosomal RNA, internal transcribed spacer 2, and large subunit ribosomal RNA". The record is from RNAcentral.